RNAcentral lists this ribosomal RNA (292 nucleotides) under uncultured bacterium. Its description in RNAcentral is "partial 16S ribosomal RNA". It matches the Rfam family "Bacterial small subunit ribosomal RNA", at positions 505 to 796 of the family's 1533-position model. The record is from RNAcentral.
GUGUCAGCAGCCGCGGUAAUACGUAGGUGGCAAGCGUUGUCCGGAUUUACUGGGCGUAAAGAGCGCGCAGGCGGUCUUGUAAGUCGAAUGUGAAAGCCCCUGGCUCAACCGGGGAGGGUCAUUCGAUACUGCUCGACUCGAAGGCAGGAGAGGGAAGCGGAAUUCCCGGUGUAGUGGUGAAAUGCGUAGAUAUCGGGAGGAACACCAGUGGCGAAGGCGGCUUUCUGGCCUGUUCUUGACGCUGAGGCGCGAAAGCUAGGGGAGCAAACGGGAUUAGAUACCCCCGUAGUCC